AGUGGGCAAAAUGGUAGCAGCUGGCAGCUUCUGCUUCAGAUAAAUAGAUCUCAGCAGUAACAACCUGAAUUUGCCUGUCUCUCCAGACUUCAGAUCUGCUUGUUUGCCCUGCAACCUCAGUUCUUUGAUGGAUCCAAGAAAAGGCCUUGAUUUUUGGCUUAAGAUUUUUCUUAUUGUAAGAAGAGAAGUGAUGACUUCUAAGCUGUUUACACUGAGGGCCUAAAACCAGAGUUUUACACUUGAUUUUUGGAGAGAGGAUUCCCAACCUUUUCACAUCUUCCUCCAUGCUGCCAUAACCCAAAGUUACCACAUUGUUAUCUGGUCUUGGACACCAAUUGGAAACUCUAAACAUGAGGAUAGUAAAGAAUUUGACAAGCUGAUUCUAAAAUGUAUACAGAAAAAGCAAACGUCUAAGAACUUCCAUUCCUUUCAUCAUGGCACAAUGAUAAAAACCUUAGACCGGCAGGAAAGCCACGUGAAUUCAGACCAUUAAUGUGCCAGUUACUUCAACGAACUGAUGGCUCUCAACUUGCUCAUCUAUGAACUGGAUGAAUUGAAACAGAUGACCUUUAUACCUUUCCUCUCGAAUAUUCUUCAUAGCAUUUUGUAACUCAACCUUAUGUUGCAUGGCAAAAUGUAGCUUUAUUAUGUUUAAACAAUAACAUGAACAAAAAAAGUGAGUUGGAUACUAUUAUCCCUUUUGGUCUAUUUUAUUUUUAAUACAAUUUGAUCUGUUUUGACCUAAGGAAUAUGUAUGAUUUGGAAAUAAAAAUACAGUUGGGGAUA
Molecule: long non-coding RNA, 786 nt
Filed under: Equus asinus (donkey)
Lineage: Eukaryota; Metazoa; Chordata; Mammalia; Perissodactyla; Equidae
Description: lncRNA (ENSEASG00005037761.1)
Source: RNAcentral